AGGUGAUCUACCCUUCAGAGGAGGACAACCUCAGGAAACUGAGGCUAAACCUUCAUACGUUCACUGGUAGGGAUACUGGUGAAGAAAGAGUUACCGUCAAGGUAGCUGCUGAAGGAUGAGCCUGCGGCCCAUCAGGUAGUUGGUGAGGUAACGGCUCACCAAGCCGAAGACGGGUAACCGGUCUGAGAGGAUGUCCGGUCACACUGGGACUGAGACACGGCCCAGACUCCUACGGGAGGCAGCAGCAGGGAAUCUUGGGCAAUGGGCGAAAGCCUGACCCAGCGACGCCGCGUGGAGGAAGAAGUCCUUCGGGGCGUAAACUCCUGGACUGGGGGACGAGGAAGGACGGUACCCCAGUAGAAAGGGACGGCUAACUACGUGCCAGCAGCCGCGGUAAAACGUAGGUCCCGAGCGUUGUUCGGAUUCACUGGGUGUAAAGGGCGCGUAGGUGGUUGUCUGUGUCUCAUGUGAAAACUCAGGGCUCAACUCUGAGAUUGCGUGGGAAACUAGGCAGCUAGAGGACGGUAGAGGGGAGUGGAAUUCCCGGUGUAGCGGUAAAAUGCGUAGAUAUCGGGAGGAACACCGGUGGCGAAGGCGGCUCUCUGGGCCGAUCCUGACGCUGAGGCGCGAAAGCUAGGGGAGCGAACCGGAUUAGAUACCCGGGUAGUCCUAGCCGUAAACGAUGGGUGCUAGGUGUUGGGGGGUAAAGACCCUUCAGUGCCGAAGCCAACGCGAUAAGCAUCCCACCUGGGGAGUACGGCCGCAAGGUUGAAACUCAA
RNAcentral lists this ribosomal RNA (779 nucleotides) under uncultured Coprothermobacter sp. RNAcentral's name for it is "bacterial SSU rRNA". It matches the Rfam family "Bacterial small subunit ribosomal RNA", at positions 119 to 904 of the family's 1533-position model. The record is from RNAcentral. Lineage: Bacteria; Pseudomonadati; Coprothermobacterota; Coprothermobacteria; Coprothermobacterales; Coprothermobacteraceae.